GACGAACGCUGGCGGCGUGCUUAACACAUGCAAGUCGAACGGAAAGGCCCUGCUUUUGUGGGGUGCUCGAGUGGCGAACGGGUGAGUAACACGUGAGUAACCUGCCCUUGACUUUGGGAUAACUUCAGGAAACUGGGGCUAAUACCGGAUAGGAGCUCCUGCUGCAUGGUGGGGGUUGGAAAGUUUCGGCGGUUGGGGAUGGACUCGCGGCUUAUCAGCUUGUUGGUGGGGUAGUGGCUUACCAAGGCUUUGACGGGUAGCCGGCCUGAGAGGGUGACCGGCCACAUUGGGACUGAGAUACGGACCAGACGCCUACGGGAGGCAGCAGGGGGGAAUAUGGCACAAUGGGCGGAAGCCUGAUGCAGCAACGCCGCGUGCGGGAUGACGGCCUUCGGGGUGUAAACCGCUUUCGCCUGUGACGAAGCGUGAGUGACGGUAAUGGGUAAAGAAGCACCGGCUAACUACGUG
Molecule: ribosomal RNA, 468 nt
Filed under: uncultured bacterium
Lineage: Bacteria
Description: partial 16S ribosomal RNA
Rfam family: Bacterial small subunit ribosomal RNA
Source: RNAcentral